This 497-nucleotide ribosomal RNA is filed under the name uncultured bacterium. RNAcentral's name for it is "partial 16S ribosomal RNA". It matches the Rfam family "Bacterial small subunit ribosomal RNA", at positions 28 to 507 of the family's 1533-position model. The record is from RNAcentral.
GAUGAACGCUGGCGGCAUGCCUAAUACAUGCAAGUCGAACGAACAGACAAGAAGCUCGCUCCUCUGACGGUGGCGACUGACGGGCGAGUAACACGUACAUCACCUACUUCUUUUACUGGGAUGACAUCGUGGAACCACAUACAAUACCAGCUCAUACAUUCUACGGCUUGAUUCAAUAGAGCAUCAGACCUUGCGCGACAGUUUGAGAUGAUGCCGCGUCGGCUUAGCUAGUUGGUAAGGUAACGGCCUACCGAGGCGACGAUGCGUAGCUGAGCUGAGAGGGUGAUCGGCCACACUGGAACUGAGACACGGUCCAGACUCCUACGGGAGGCAGCAGUAGGGAAUAUUCAGCAAUGGGAGAAAGCCUGACGGAGCAACGCCGCGUGAGUGAUGAAGGUCUUCGGAUCGUAAAACUCUGUUAUUAGGGAAGAACAAAUGUGUAAGUAACUAUGCACGUCUUGACGGUACCUAAUCAGAAAGCCACGGCUAACUACGUG